This is a long non-coding RNA of Neofelis nebulosa (Clouded leopard), 281 nucleotides long. RefSeq lists it as uncharacterized. Lineage: Eukaryota; Metazoa; Chordata; Mammalia; Carnivora; Felidae. The record is from RefSeq and is a predicted model, not a curated record. The transcript is spliced from 2 exons.
UGGAACUGAAUUUUGAAGUUGGACUAUUCCAGAUAUUUCAAGUGCAUACACCCUGAAGUAUAAACGAAAGAAUGGAGGCUCCAAUGUAAUGGAGGAAUUACAUUUUUUAAAGUUUCAAUCUGCAAUACCUCAAUCUUUCUACCAAGACCUUGAUCUCUGAUGUGGAACUUCGUCAAAUGCUGUCUGAAAAUGUAAGAGCACACUCUUCCCUGCAUGGAGACAAAGCCAGAAUCUUCCUUGAAAGGCAGGAGGGUGCUGAAUGAAUAAACAUUGGCAUUUUG